RNAcentral lists this transfer RNA (85 nucleotides) under Planctomycetaceae bacterium. Its description in RNAcentral is "tRNA-Ser". It matches the Rfam family "tRNA". Rfam says of the family: Transfer RNA (tRNA) molecules are approximately 80 nucleotides in length. Their secondary structure includes four short double-helical elements and three loops (D, anti-codon, and T loops). Lineage: Bacteria; Pseudomonadati; Planctomycetota; Planctomycetia; Planctomycetales; Planctomycetaceae. The record is from RNAcentral. RNAcentral also lists the same sequence under 1 other name.
GGAGAGGUGGCAGAGUGGCCGAUUGCACCGGUCUUGAAAACCGGCGUACCGCAAGGUACCGGGAGUUCGAAUCUCCCCCUCUCCG